GGGUGCUUCUAGAAGAAAGGAUAAUACAAUCUUUCAGUCCACUAAAACACAAAAGCAAGUUGACAAGCAAAUACGAAAUGCUUGUACAAUAUAGUGAAGUCACUCCAAACAGCGGCUUGUUUGGUUACUUUCAACAGGUAGUCUAAUUUUUAUUUGAAAACUGCAAGCAGGAAGCAGAGGACAGUGGGUACCCAUAUCCACAUGCAUAUCAGACACAUUUAGUCUUUAUGCUUCACUUC
Molecule: unclassified non-coding RNA, 239 nt
Filed under: Hevea brasiliensis (rubber tree)
Lineage: Eukaryota; Viridiplantae; Streptophyta; Magnoliopsida; Malpighiales; Euphorbiaceae
Source: RNAcentral